CGAACGCUGGCGGCGUGCUUAACACAUGCAAGUCGAACGGUGAACACGGAGCUUGCUCUGUGGGAUCAGUGGCGAACGGGUGAGUAACACGUGAGCAACCUGCCCCUGACUCUGGGAUAAGCGCUGGAAACGGCGUCUAAUACUGGAUAUGUGACGUGACCGCAUGGUCUGCGUCUGGAAAGAAUUUCGGUUGGGGAUGGGCUCGCGGCCUAUCAGCUUGUUGGUGAGGUAAUGGCUCACCAAGGCGUCGACGGGUAGCCGGCCUGAGAGGGUGACCGGCCACACUGGGACUGAGACACGGCCCCA
This 306-nucleotide ribosomal RNA is filed under the name uncultured Microbacterium sp. Its description in RNAcentral is "bacterial SSU rRNA". It matches the Rfam family "Bacterial small subunit ribosomal RNA", at positions 30 to 333 of the family's 1533-position model. The record is from RNAcentral. Lineage: Bacteria; Bacillati; Actinomycetota; Actinomycetes; Micrococcales; Microbacteriaceae.